This 1470-nucleotide long non-coding RNA is filed under the name Sus scrofa (pig). RNAcentral describes it as "lncRNA (ENSSSCG00035030030.1)". The record is from RNAcentral. Lineage: Eukaryota; Metazoa; Chordata; Mammalia; Artiodactyla; Suidae.
CCAACCCUUUAGAAAUGUAAAAGCCACUCUUAGCUCUUGUGGGCUGUACAAAAACAGGUGGCAGGGUGGCUUGGGCCUGUGGACCACAGUUUGCCCACCCCGAUGGAAAGCACUUACAAUGGUACUGGCACAGAGCAGGCACUCCCCACCGGCGAAGCUGAGCCUUGGCCGGGUUAGGCUAUGUGCCGUAUCUCAUUGAAACCCCACUGUCCCUGUGCGUGAUGGGAGACGUGAUAACUCAGAGGGGGAAGUGAAGAGUUAGGUGGCAGGUGGCAGAGUCACAGUAAAUCCACAGGAAGUGACGUGAGUUCUUGCUUCUGACCAUUAUAAAACGCCGUGCUGGCGGCCAGGACACCACAGGGAACCAGAUCCCCUACGGCUCAGCUCCAAAGACCACAAAUCAUGAUUUAAGCGAUUGGAGACGUGCGUUACAGAAACCACGGCCUGGACGGAGGGACAGCAGAGGCAUGGCGCAGUGUACAGUGACGGUGGCCCCCUGAAGGAGAGGCAUGUGGGCUGAGAAGAGCCCUGUAUCUGGCGCUGUGCCAAGUGCCCCGAGAGGAGGGUCCUGCCGAGGACAGCUCGGGACGUGGUGGCCUCACAGGCGUAGCAGAAGGAGACACUGCCCAAACUUCCUGAAGGCGGGCGGGGCCAACGAAAUAACCUGCAUAGCCCUUGUUUCAACUGUUCUAUUUUAUGGGAACAUAUCCUAAUAAAACGAGAAAAUAUUUAGAGUUCCCUGGAGGUGCAUCAGGGUUAGGGAGGCAGCCCUGUCACUGCUGUGGCAUGGGUUUGAUUCCUGGCCCCAGAACGUCCGCGUGCUGUGGGUGUGGUCAAAAAGAAAAGAAACUAUCCAUGGCUUAUAAUAGUGCAAACGCUGAAUUCAUAAGGGUCUGCCUCGGAUGCUAAAAAUACACGCGAGGGGCUCUGCCACUUUGGUCUGAACAACAGUGAAGCUGGGGGGCCCCACAGUCAAACACUGACGCAGCAGAAGGCAUGUGCUGAUGUGGGAAAAGCAUGUGUUUAGUAAAACAGCAAUUUACAAACUAACAUGUAUAUGAUCCUCCUAUGGCACGUGUAGACAGUGUAUGUAGACACAUAUGCGUUAGUUCAUUUAAUUAGUCACCUCUGAGUGAUAACAAAAGUGUUUUUUUGUUUUUGUUUUUCCUUUUUUUUUGGCUGUGCCUGCAGCAGUCAGAAGUUCCCAGGCCAGGGACAGAACCUGAGCCACAGCAGUGACAAUGAUGAAUCCCUAAUGCUAGGCCACCAGGGAACUCCAAACAGAAAGUGUUUUUAGCUUUUGCCUUUUGUGUGUCUGGGUCUGCGGAUUUUUCUGGAGGAGAUAACCGGUGCUUCUUUUUUUGGCCUGCACCUGCAGCAUGCAGAAAUUCCCAGGCCAGGGACUGAACCUGUGCCACAGCAGUGACAACACUGGAUCCUUAACCCAAUGCACCACCAGGGAACUCCCUU